RNAcentral lists this ribosomal RNA (765 nucleotides) under uncultured Streptococcus sp. Its description in RNAcentral is "bacterial SSU rRNA". It matches the Rfam family "Bacterial small subunit ribosomal RNA", at positions 28 to 776 of the family's 1533-position model. Lineage: Bacteria; Bacillati; Bacillota; Bacilli; Lactobacillales; Streptococcaceae. The record is from RNAcentral.
GACGAACGCUGGCGGCGUGCCUAAUACAUGCAAGUAGAACGCUGAAGCUUGGUGCUUGCACCGAGCGGAUGAGUUGCGAACGGGUGAGUAACGCGUAGGUAACCUGCCUGGUAGCGGGGGAUAACUAUUGGAAACGAUAGCUAAUACCGCAUAAAAUGGAUUAUCGCAUGAUAAUCCAUUGAAAGGUGCAAAUGCAUCACUACCAGAUGGACCUGCGUUGUAUUAGCUAGUUGGUGGGGUAACGGCUCACCAAGGCGACGAUACAUAGCCGACCUGAGAGGGUGAUCGGCCACACUGGGACUGAGACACGGCCCAGACUCCUACGGGAGGCAGCAGUAGGGAAUCUUCGGCAAUGGACGGAAGUCUGACCGAGCAACGCCGCGUGAGUGAAGAAGGUUUUCGGAUCGUAAAGCUCUGUUGUAAGAGAAGAACGAGUGUGAGAGUGGAAAGUUCACACUGUGACGGUAUCUUACCAGAAAGGGACGGCUAACUACGUGCCAGCAGCCGCGGUAAUACGUAGGUCCCGAGCGUUGUCCGGAUUUAUUGGGCGUAAAGCGAGCGCAGGCGGUUAGAUAAGUCUGAAGUUAAAGGCUGUGGCUUAACCAUAGUACGCUUUGGAAACUGUUUAACUUGAGUGCAAGAGGGGAGAGUGGAAUUCCAUGUGUAGCGGUGAGAUGCGUAGAUAUAUGGAGGAACACCGGUGGCGAAAGCGGCUCUCUGGCUUGUAACUGACGCUGAGGCUCGAAAGCGUGGGGAGCAAACAGG